GAUGAACGCUGGCGGCGUGCUUAACACAUGCAAGUCGAACGGAAAGGCUCCUGCUUGCAGGGGUACUCGAGUGGCGAACGGGUGAGUAACACGUGGGUGAUCUGCCCUGCACUUCGGGAUAAGUCUGGGAAACUGGGUCUAAUACCGGAUAGGACCACAUUUUGGAUGGUGUGGUGGAAAGUUUUUCGGUGUGGGAUGAGCUCGCGGCCUAUCAGCUUGUUGGUGGGGUAAUGGCCUACCAAGGCGUCGACGGGUAGCCGGCCUGAGAGGGUGUACGGCCACAUUGGGACUGAGAUACGGCCCAGACUCCUACGGGAGGCAGCAGUGGGGAAUAUUGCACAAUGGGCGCAAGCCUGAUGCAGCGACGCCGCGUGGGGGAUGACGGCCUUCGGGUUGUAAACUCCUUUCGCUAGGGACGAAGCGCAAGUGACGGUACCUGGAGAAGAAGCACCGGCUAACUACGUG
RNAcentral lists this ribosomal RNA (465 nucleotides) under uncultured bacterium. Its description in RNAcentral is "partial 16S ribosomal RNA". It matches the Rfam family "Bacterial small subunit ribosomal RNA", at positions 28 to 507 of the family's 1533-position model. The record is from RNAcentral.